RNAcentral lists this ribosomal RNA (254 nucleotides) under uncultured bacterium. Its description in RNAcentral is "partial 16S ribosomal RNA". It matches the Rfam family "Bacterial small subunit ribosomal RNA", at positions 524 to 776 of the family's 1533-position model. The record is from RNAcentral.
UACGGAGGGAGCUAGCGUUGUUCGGAAUUACUGGGCGUAAAGCGCACGUAGGCGGCUUUGUAAGUUAGAGGUGAAAGCCCGGGGCUCAACUCCGGAACUGCCUUUAAGACUGCAUCGCUUGAAUCCAGGAGAGGUGAGUGGAAUUCCGAGUGUAGAGGUGAAAUUCGUAGAUAUUCGGAAGAACACCAGUGGCGAAGGCGACUACCUGGCCUGUUUCUUGACGCUGAGGCGCGAAAGCUAGGGGAGCAAACGGG